UACGGGGGGGGCAAGCGUUGUUCGGAAUUACUGGGCGUAAAGGGCUCGUAGGCGGCCAACUAAGUCAGACGUGAAAUCCCUCGGCUUAACCGGGGAACUGCGUCUGAUACUGGUUGGCUUGAGUGUGGGAGAGGGAUGCGGAAUUCCAGGUGUAGCGGUGAAAUGCGUAGAUAUCGGGAGGAACACCAGUGGCGAAGGCGGCUCUCUGGGCCUUUCCUGACGCUGAGACGCGAAAGCGUGGGGAGCGAACCGG
Molecule: ribosomal RNA, 253 nt
Filed under: uncultured bacterium
Lineage: Bacteria
Description: partial 16S ribosomal RNA
Rfam family: Bacterial small subunit ribosomal RNA
Source: RNAcentral